RNAcentral lists this long non-coding RNA (215 nucleotides) under Phaseolus vulgaris (common bean). RNAcentral describes it as "long non-coding RNA (PVUL_LNC002359)". The record is from RNAcentral. Lineage: Eukaryota; Viridiplantae; Streptophyta; Magnoliopsida; Fabales; Fabaceae.
CCACUUUCACAUAUUAUAAUCUUGUUUCAUUUGAUACAAGGCCUCAUAUUCAAUUGUUAGACAAAAUUAAUGGGUUUAAUGAUAUAAUAAGAUUAUGUAACCAAAAUCCAAAUACUUAAAAAAAAUAUUAAAAAAAUUUCUAUGUAAGUUAAAAACUAAAGAAAAUAACUAAAUAUAAUGGAAGAAUGGAGGGAUGCGAGAUACUUACAAGUUAG